Non-coding RNA from Schistosoma haematobium, 45 nucleotides. NCBI's taxonomy places the organism in Eukaryota, Metazoa, Platyhelminthes, Trematoda, Strigeidida, Schistosomatidae. The record is from Rfam.
AUCCAGCUGACGAGUUCGAAAAGGGACGAAACGCUCGUCCUGGAU